CCUACGGGAGGCAGCAGUGGGGAAUAUUGCACAAUGGGGGGAACCCUGAUGCAGCGACGCCGCGUGAGUGAAGAAGUAUUUCGGUAUGUAAAGCUCUAUCCUCAGGGAAGAAAAUGACGGUGCCUGACUAAGAAGCCCCGGCUAACUACGUGCCAACAGCCGCGGUAAUACGUAGGUGGAAAGCGUUAUCCGGAUUUACUGGGUGUAAAGGGAGCGUAGACGGUGAUGCAAGUCUGAAGUGAAAGCCCAAGGCUCAACCAUGGGACUGCAUUGGAAACUGUAAAACUGGAGUGCAGGAGAGGUAAGCGGAAUUCCUAGUGUAGCGGUGAUAUGCGUAGAUAUUAGGAGGAACACCAGUGGCGAAGGCGGAUUACUGGACGAUAACUGACGGUGAGGCGCGAAAGCGUGGGGAGCAAACAGGAUUGGAUACCCGUGUAGUC
This 440-nucleotide ribosomal RNA is filed under the name uncultured bacterium. RNAcentral's name for it is "partial 16S ribosomal RNA". It matches the Rfam family "Bacterial small subunit ribosomal RNA", at positions 338 to 795 of the family's 1533-position model. The record is from RNAcentral.